This 460-nucleotide ribosomal RNA is filed under the name uncultured bacterium. RNAcentral's name for it is "partial 16S ribosomal RNA". It matches the Rfam family "Bacterial small subunit ribosomal RNA", at positions 338 to 795 of the family's 1533-position model. The record is from RNAcentral.
CCUACGGGGGACAGCAGUGAGGAAUAUUGGUCAAUGGACGAGAGUCUGAACCAGCCAAGUAGCGUGAAGGAUGACUGCCCUAUGGGUUGUAAACUUCUUUUAUAAAGGAAUAAAACGAGGCACGUGUGCCUUUUUGCAUGUACUUUAUGAAUAAGGAUCGGCUAACUCCGUGCCAGCAGCCGCGGUAAUACGGAGGAUCCGAGCGUUAUCCGGAUUUAUUGGGUUUAAAGGGAGCGUAGAUGGGUUGUUAAGUCAGUUGUGAAAGUUUGCGGCUCAACCGUAAAAUUGCAAUUGAUACUGGCAGUCGUGAGUACAGUUGAGGUAAGCGGAAUUCGUGGUGUAGCGGUGAAAUGCUUAGAUAUCACGAAGAACCCCGAUUGCGAAGGCAGCUUACUAAACUGUGACUGACAUUGAUGCUCGAAAGUGUGGGUAUCAAACAGGAUUAGAUACCCGUGUAGUC